RNAcentral lists this ribosomal RNA (468 nucleotides) under uncultured bacterium. RNAcentral describes it as "partial 16S ribosomal RNA". It matches the Rfam family "Bacterial small subunit ribosomal RNA", at positions 28 to 507 of the family's 1533-position model. The record is from RNAcentral.
GACGAACGCUGGCGGCGUGCUUAACACAUGCAAGUCGAACGGAAAGGCCCUGCUUGUGUGCGGUGCUCGAGUGGCGAACGCGUGAGUAACACGUGAGUAACCUUCCCUUGACUCUGGGAUAACUUCAGGAAACUGGGGCUACUACCGGUUAGGCGCUCCAGCUGCAUUGUGGUGGUUGGAUAGUUUCGGCGGUUGGGGCUGGACGCGCGGCUUAUCAGCUUGUUGGUGGAGUAGUGUCUUACCAAGGCUGUGACGGGUAGCCGGCCUGAGAGCGGGACCGGCCACAUUGGGACUGAGAUACGGACCAGACUCCUACGGGAGGCAGCAGUGGGGAAUAUUGCACAAUGGGCGGAAGCCUGAUGCAGCAACGCCGCGUGCGGGAUGACGGCCUUCGGGUUGUAAACAGCUUUCGCCUGUGACGAAGCGUGAGUGACGGUAAUGGGUAAAGAAGCACCGGCUAACUACGUG